RNAcentral lists this small RNA (30 nucleotides) under Bombyx mori (domestic silkworm). Its description in RNAcentral is "ovarian small RNA-26119". The record is from RNAcentral. Lineage: Eukaryota; Metazoa; Arthropoda; Insecta; Lepidoptera; Bombycidae.
UCAUCGGUCAGGCUCGCGCGGCCAUGUAAA